CAGUAGCCGCGGGAAUACGGAGGGAGCUAGCGUUGUUCGGAAUUACUGGGCGUAAAGCGCACGUAGGCGGUUAUUCAAAUCAGAGGUGAAAGCCCGGGGCUCAACCCCGGAACUGCCUUUGAAACUAGAUGACUAGAAUCUUGGAGAGGUCAGUGGAAUUCCGAGUGUAGAGGUGAAAUUCGUAGAUAUUCGGAAGAACACCAGUGGCGAAGGCGACUGACUGGACAAGUAUUGACGCUGAGGUGCGAAAGCGUGGGGAGCAAACAGGAUUAGAUACCCCCGUAGUCCCUGUCUCUUAUAC
This 301-nucleotide ribosomal RNA is filed under the name uncultured bacterium. RNAcentral's name for it is "partial 16S ribosomal RNA". It matches the Rfam family "Bacterial small subunit ribosomal RNA", at positions 509 to 807 of the family's 1533-position model. The record is from RNAcentral.